Sphaeramia orbicularis (orbiculate cardinalfish) is the source of this 1947-nucleotide long non-coding RNA. The record is from Ensembl. NCBI's taxonomy places the organism in Eukaryota, Metazoa, Chordata, Actinopteri, Kurtiformes, Apogonidae.
GGUCUAUAACUACAUAGACCAGCAGCUUUAUUCAGAAGCUACUGUGCAUAUAAACACUGUAAAUGUGUUUGUGUGUGUGUGCUUUUAUUUUUGACAGAGAUUUAUGAUGAGCUGUGUGCCAGGGGAGAGGAACCCGACCUGCUCUCUGUCCUCACAGUCCUUGCGUCCACUGUCAUCCCCGGUUUACCACCAGGGGGAGGCAUACAGAGCAAGUAAGAAAUCCAACUGUAUGAGCAUGAACAUGUGUAUGCUGCUUCAAAACUCCAUGUUUAAAGUGGUUUUUGUACUUCUUAUGUGUAUUACAGAAGGAACUGCAUUAUUUCUGCUUACUAUCAACAAAGAGAAACACACAAGCCAACAGUACCAAAUGGACUGGGAGGCUCCUGAGAUGUCCAGCAGAUCCAUAAAGAGACUGUAAUUAAUGUCAGUGUUUAAACUGUUUUCUUCAUUUGACAAAAAGGGAUAUGAUGAACAGACGGGGUGUUUGUUUACGUCAUGCCAGCAAAGAGCAUCUUGUCAAAACAAAUACAAUGCAAAAAUAAAUACAAUAAAGCUUGAUACACUUUAUAUUUGUACAAGGACAUUUUGUAAAACAUACUCAGAGACACUGACCUAGAAACAAACCUCUGCCUCACAUUCACUGAACAGAAAAUACAGACGAAAAUAUGGCCUGGAAACUGAACAUUAGGUUAUUAGGGCAACUGGAUGAUAAAGGUAUGAGAGUAAAGUUAGAAUAUUUUAAGAAAAAAUACGUGUUAUUUUAUUUUAUUUUAUUUUAUUUUAAGAAAAAGGCUUACUUGUGGAAGAGUUGUCAAAAUUACCAGCUGAACCAUACACAGAAGUUACUGUUUGUAUUUAAUGACAUGAGCCUUUACUGUUUUGUUAUAUUUUUGACAAGAUUCCUUAAUUUCUCUUAAGAAAUAUCAGAUAAUACUCUCAAGUGUAUUCCUCGAAAAUUGUUGCGUUUAUUGUAAAACAUGACUUUAUUCUCAUGAUAGAAUGGUUUAUUUCUUAAAAUAUUCUAACUUUAUUUUGAUCUGAUUAUGUUUAUCCUCAGUUUGGCCCUAAUAAUCCUUCGUAAAAUAUAAACCUACUGUGAAACUGUACAAUUUAAUGCGGUAAAAUAAGAAAUAGUAGUAUAUGUGGGGGUUGUAGUUCAAAGUUUUAUGUUUUAUGAAUAGAAAUUAGAAAAUAGACAUUUUAAGUCUGUUGAUCGACCUUCGCUGGUCUCAAGCUAGCAUGGAUCUAAUAAAUCCAUUUGUUUUUACAUGAAAUAUGAACAGUGUUAUCUCUUUGAGCCGAGGGGAAUGUACAAUUUUAUAUUUAUGGUCAAUUGAGAUAAGAUAAAUAAAUAUUUACUAUUGCGUUCAUUAAAUAUCAACACAUACACUGACAGAAUUGCACAAUAUAAGUAAAAAUACAUUUCACAAAUUGAAAUGUUUGUACUACAUUUUGUUGAACAUGUACAAUAAGAAAAGUCUAUUCAACUUAUUUAAUAGAAAUGAAAUGAUUAUUUACGUAAUAUGCUGAAGUUGGAUUUUUUUUUUUUUUUUUUUUUUUUUUACCAAAACAUGAAUUGAUUUGGGAAAAUUCAUCUGUAAAAUUUCAACAACUGGUGGAUUAAACUAAACUAGAUCAAUUCUAAACUCCUACAUGCACAGUUCAUUCUUUUUUAUCAUAUAUUUCUCAUUCAUUAGUACAGUGUAUGUGAAAUGUAUUUUUUCUAUAGGAGAUGGUUGAUACUGUAUGUACUGUGCUGCCUUAUUAUUAUCUUUUAUAAGAAAAAACAAACAGCAUCAACAUGUCUGAUUCAGAGCAGGUCCAUUAUCAUACUGUAUUGCUGUAUUAGUUUGCUGAGUAAUUUUCUGUGUAAAGACAUUGUAAGUUAAGAGUUAUGAUUGUUUUUAACCUAAAUAAAGAAUAUUUGACUGACUGGUUGUGGUAAUG